UCAUUCCUGGGGUGUUCGAUACCCUGCUAUUUUGAACCUACAUUACAUUUCAUGGGAUUCCUAAAUCUCUGUUUGGAUGUCAAGCCUCCUUUGAGUGGAAGGCAGAAGAAUAGGUGCGGAUACCCACCUAGCUUAGCUAGGCGUCAAAAUCGCAGGAAACGGCAUUUUGGGACUUAC
RNAcentral lists this non-coding RNA (177 nucleotides) under Candidatus Galacturonatibacter soehngenii. RNAcentral's name for it is "Candidatus Galacturonibacter soehngenii 6S / SsrS RNA". It matches the Rfam family "6S / SsrS RNA". From Rfam's summary of the family: E. coli 6S RNA was the first non coding RNA to be sequenced, but its function was unknown until recently. Lineage: Bacteria; Bacillati; Bacillota; Clostridia; Lachnospirales; Lachnospiraceae. The record is from Rfam by way of RNAcentral.